UGAUGCUCGUCCUAGCUAUUGCUUUUUUUU
RNAcentral lists this non-coding RNA (30 nucleotides) under Mus musculus (house mouse). Lineage: Eukaryota; Metazoa; Chordata; Mammalia; Rodentia; Muridae. The record is from RNAcentral.